This 276-nucleotide long non-coding RNA is filed under the name Theobroma cacao (cacao). RNAcentral's name for it is "long non-coding RNA (TCAC_LNC001143)". The record is from RNAcentral. Lineage: Eukaryota; Viridiplantae; Streptophyta; Magnoliopsida; Malvales; Malvaceae.
UUUGGUAAAUGUGUUGAAAAAGUAUGAACUGUUGAUUUGCCUUGAGAGGCUGUAAAAUAAAAUAAUUGCCAUGUCAUGCUGUUGAAUUUUAUUGAAUUGGUGGAUUAUAUAUUGGUCGCUGAGUGGACGGGUUCCGUGGACCAGCCUAUUAGAGGGGCACGGUAACCCUAUUAUAUUCAUACCUCAGUAUGAAAGGCACGGUUGGAUAACUCCUGAGGUUAAAACUUUAGAGUUCACUUCACGCCAAACCACCACGUGAAGGUGAACUCAGCCAAC